This is a long non-coding RNA of Hylaeus volcanicus, 743 nucleotides long. RefSeq lists it as uncharacterized. The transcript is spliced from 4 exons. Lineage: Eukaryota; Metazoa; Arthropoda; Insecta; Hymenoptera; Colletidae. The record is from RefSeq and is a predicted model, not a curated record.
GAGCAAAGUCUAUGCAGUUCUUGAAGCAGAAUUUCAAAAUGAAGGAAACUUAUCUUUUUUAAUAACCUGUUCGAUAAUGUUUUCAACGUUACAUACGUCAUCAAACACACAGAUUCGUUAUAACUCUGAGGUUAUAUAACAAUAAAUGUGAUAAGUGAAUUGACUUUUUACUUAAAUAUUAAACUGGGUAACCGAUAACUCUUUCUCAGGAAAUAUGGAAGCCGCGUUAUCGAACAAAGGAUGCAUUUAGAACAAACUCUUAUAAAAAACAAUAUUACUUUAAAAAUAAAAUUUACAAUUAAAUUGCAUCACGGAUAAAAUACGUUCGCCAUGCAGACCAGGAAUUUUUUUUGUUAUAAGUUUUUAAAUUGAAUUUUGUAAAAUAAACAACAUAGUUUAUCCGGAAAAUGUUUUCUUUUUCAGUUUUCCACUAUUCGUUAGCGUGAAUUUUUUCAUUAAAUGAAUUUAGGUUGAAACGCAUCGCGUUUUCUUUUGAUUUAGAUUUUUUUCUUAAUCAUGCAGUUAAUUAUAAGUAUGAUGUGAAACCUUUUAGAUGAAACAGAAGUGUUACUGCAUGUUUAUUAUUCACGUUCCGUUCUACAGAAAGAUUAGUGAUUUACUAAUCAAUUUUAAGAAAAACGAAACUCAUUGCUUUUUUUUUAAUAUUGGUGGUCAAAAAGAUUUAUUACGAUGCUGUUGAAUUACAACAAUUGAUAACAGGAACAAUUUGAAAUCAAAUGAAG